GGCGGUUCUCAGGUCAUACACCCUGGAAUCGGGCUCCCUCCUCUCUGGUUCCAGGGUGCGUUACCCAAGAACCACU
Non-coding RNA from Myotis brandtii (Brandt's bat), 76 nucleotides. The record is from Rfam. NCBI's taxonomy places the organism in Eukaryota, Metazoa, Chordata, Mammalia, Chiroptera, Vespertilionidae.